Molecule: long non-coding RNA, 1022 nt
Filed under: Prunus dulcis (almond)
Lineage: Eukaryota; Viridiplantae; Streptophyta; Magnoliopsida; Rosales; Rosaceae
Description: sRNA ncRNA
Source: RNAcentral
AGAAAAAGUAACCAAAAAUAAAAAAUAAAAACAAACCCAGCACAUCUCAUCCUCCCUACCCACCCUAAUUAACCCUCCGUCAUCUCAUUCUCCUAAAUCCCACCCUCAGCCCAUCUCUCUCUCUCUCUCUCUCUCUCUCUCUCUCUCUCUCUCUGUGUACAAAGAACCCAGAUUCAGAUCUAGGUUAGGGGUCGUCGCCCUCUCUCCGUUUCGCACACAGAAGAUAACGCCACACGCAGACCCAAUUUACCAGAACAAAUUCAGAGGAGUCCGCAAGCGGCCAUGGGGUUGUUGGGUGUUGUAGUGGGUAUCGUUGGUGGUGGUGGAUGGGGAUGGGAGAAACGCAGUGGGUAUUUGAUUUUAAAUUUAUGUUAAAAUAUCGACCUGGGUUUGGGGGGUUUGAAGAAAGAAAGAAAUAGAUGCAGUGAGAGAGGAAAAGAUAGGGGUCGAGGAAGAUGAGAUGGGGUUGGGUGGCUUGGGAAAUGAUCUCCACUGUAAUUUUGCUUUGCUUCUGCUCUGCUUCUCAGUGGCAGAGAAAUUAGAGAUCAAAUGAUGAUGGAGGGAUGGGGUGGGUGGGUGGCAAGGAUUGUGGCGGCUGGGGGAGUGAUUGGGUAAUGGGUAGGGUUUUUAAUUAUUAUAAUUUUUUUAAAAUUUUGUUAUUUUUAAUGAUUAUUUAAUUAUAUAUUUAUCUAUAUGGAGGUGGGCUUAACUUGCCAUGUCACCCACUCAAUUGGUGUAAUGAUUCAUAUGUAUGAAAUUACAAAAUCACUCCUGCUACGUCAUCAAAUUUAGAGUUUUGAAUGAAGUUGAUGGCAGGGGGCAAAGUGGGUCACGAAACCUCGAUUAAAAGAUGAAAGUGGGCCACUUUAAUUUUGUGGGGUAAAGUGAGAUUUGACCGAAAUUUCAAUGAGCACUACGGUAAAUAAGCCUAAAUAAAAUGUGGUAUGUCUAGCAUUUUCCCUUAGAAAAAUUGAGUUUGUAGUCAUGAACCUAGCCUCUAUAUUUGAAUUUGAACUUUUGUG